AGUCUUGGCCGCCAGUGGGCUCCCGGGCUUCGGCCGCGAAGCCCCCUUCUUUUCCUCCUCUCUCCUCAUCUUCAACGGUUACCUCAAGUUCAUGCAGCACCUCAGGGGUUCAGCCCUCGAUGCCAACAGACGACUAUUCGGAGGAGUCUGACACGGAUCUCAGCCAAAAGUCCGACGGACCGGCGAGCCCGGUGGAGGGUCCCAAAGACCCCAGCUGCCCCAAGGACAGUGGUCUGACCAGUGUAGGAACGGACACCUUCAGAUUGUAAGCUUUGAAGAUGAACAAUUACAAAUGAAUUUAAAUAAAAAAAGAUUAAUAACAAACCAAUUUCAAAACUAGACUAACUGCAAUUCCAAAGCUUCUAACCAAAAAAACUAAAACAAAAACACAAAAAAAACAAAAAGAAAAAAAAGGAAAAAAAGAAAAAAAAAGAAAAAGCGUGGGUUGUUUUCCCAUAUACCUAUCUAUGCCGGUGAUUUUACAUUCUUGUCUCUCUUUUUUUUCUUCUUCUUCUUCUUUUAAUAUUAAAAAAAAAGAAAACACGAACCCUAACCCUGUUAAAUUGUGUCCUUUUAAAGGUACUAUUGGUCUGGGAAGUUGAAGUCCGCAGGGCCUGCCUAUUGUUGUUGGAGCUUAAACCCCUUGUAUAUUUGCCCCUUUUGAGAACUGCCCCACGUUGAUAGCACAGAGGAGCCCGGCAUGCACUGUAUGGGAAAGCACUCCACCUUGUUACAGUUUUAAAUUUCUUGCUAUCUUAGCACUCAGAUACCAAUGGCUUGCUAAAAAGAAAAAGAAGAAAUGUAAUGUCUUUUUAUUCUCAGGUCAAUCGGUCACCCUUCGUUCUGUUUUCAGAAUCAUUGUUUUAUGUUUCUUCUUUUCUUUUGUUCCAGAAAAAAAGAUUUUGUUUUGUUUUAUUUGUUAAUUUAAAAAAAAAAAAUGGGCAGAAAGUAUUCAAGAGAAACAAUGUGAAGUGCUUUAGCUUUCUGGGGAUUUUUAAGAAUAGCUUUUCUGCUGAAGCCAAUUUCCAGGGGAGAAGUUACGCGCUCCCACUUUCAG
This 1057-nucleotide long non-coding RNA is filed under the name Mus musculus (house mouse). RNAcentral's name for it is "long non-coding RNA chr8:108956833-108957890". The record is from RNAcentral. Lineage: Eukaryota; Metazoa; Chordata; Mammalia; Rodentia; Muridae.